Molecule: long non-coding RNA, 2982 nt
Organism: Acinonyx jubatus (cheetah)
Lineage: Eukaryota; Metazoa; Chordata; Mammalia; Carnivora; Felidae
Exons: 3
Source: RefSeq, a predicted model, not a curated record
GGUACCAACUCUUCGAGCGGCUUCUGAGCGCCGGGCGGAUAGGGCGCUAGGGCUGGGCAAGAAGUUUGCAGAAGCUGGCGGGUCCGUAGGUGGCGCCGGAACGUCUGUGCUCUCUUCACCUCUCCUACCAGGAGAGCCAUGGCCCGGGCGCCCCACGAUGGAUCCAGGCUUAGGGUCCGCCACGCCCUGCGACAAGUCUGUCCCAAGACCCGGGCUGAGGACAAGGGGCACGGAUUGAAGUCCGGGGAACCUGGCAGUCUGCAGCUUCAACAAGCGGCUUGAGAAUGUAUUCAGAAUCUGACUACCUGUAACACCUCCACUGCCACCCCUGGUCCAGGCCCACCACUGUCUCUGCGGCAGCCUCACAGGUCUCCCCACUUCUGCUCUAGCUUCCCUGCUGCCCACAGAGAAGAAUUUGUGGGCUUGUCUACUCCUAGUACCCCAAUGCCUAGAAUUGGGCCUGGCACGCUGUUCCAGAAAUCCCUGAUGGAUGAAUGAAUGAAUUUCACAGGAUGCAAACGAAGGCCCACACAUGACUGCUGCAGACUCCAAGAGGAAUUCACAACGCUUCAAAAGCAUUCAUGCAGUGUUAGCCUGUGUGCUGCACAUACUACCGACGGACUGUCCCAUCCUCCAGAAACAAAAUUAAGUGAUCCUAACGCAGGCAAGGGAACUGAGUUUAAAGAAAAGAAAGAACAAAAUCCCACUGAAGUAGGUAGCAGCAAGGGAUGGGGGCAACCUGGAGUGCAGCCAGGCAGCUUCCCUUCUACAGCAUUUACUGGAAGACGCAUGCUACACAUCUCUUCGAGCUCCAUCUGGGCAGAGGACACGGGUGCCAGCUUGGGUGAAUCUGCAUCUUUGCAUGAUCAACUCCCACCACUCCAAAGGUGAAAGCCAGGCCACUGCCAUUAUCUUUCCAUAGCUUCUCAAAUGAGAGCCAGGGCCCACCCUCGUCCCAGUUUGUUUCCAGAUUCCAAGACUGACUACCUGCUUGUCAAGUUCUGUGUGGGAAACGUUAACAAUGUUCACAUUACCAUUUGAUGCUAUCUGGGUUUAUGACAUCUCAGAAAGUCUUUCUGUUGACAUGUGUUUUAAACAAUGGAAAUUCUUUCCAGGAACAUAGUCCUUCAGAAUAUAUCCGGACUGGACCACCUGGACCACAUCCACUGCUACCACACGUUGCAAGCCCCUGAUUAGUACAACAGCCUCCUAAUGGGUCUCUCCACCCUCGUCUCACCUCACCUCACAGAGAAGCCAGAAUGAUCCUAUUAAAAUUCUAAGGCACCUCCUGUCACUGCUCUUGUUAGUCCUCUGGCUCAGAAUAAAACCCAGUCUUCACCGUGGCGUCCAACAUUCCGAAGCCUGAAUGCACACACCAGAAUCACCAAGGAAACUUUCACAAAUACUUUCAAGGCUCUACCCCAGGUCAGUUCAGUCAGAAUCUCUGGGGUUGGGACCAGGCUUUUUCUCUUUUAAAGCUUCUCAGGUGACUGAAGUAUGCAGCUAUGCCGAGGAACCCUGUGUUAUACAAACUCCAGUCACCUCUGCUUUCCACCUACCCGAGCCCUCCUACCUCUACCGCCCUGGCUUAGUCUCAGUCACAACGGCCUCCCGGCAUUUCUCUGGCAAGUCGGAAACUCUUGUGUUUCAGGGCUUUGCACCUGCUGUUCCCCCUGCCUGGGAUGCUCUUCUCCUGGACAGCGACAAUGACUGGCUCACUCCCCAUAGCAUUCAAAACAAGUUUUUUUUUUUCUUUUAAGCUUAUUUAUUUAAACAGUCUCUACACCUAACGGGCGUCUUGAACUCAUGACCCCGAGAUCAAGAGCCGCAUGCUCUACUGACUGAGCUGGCCAGGUGUCCCUGCUCCCCAGAGCAUUCAGAUAUCUAUCCAAGGUGUCCCCUCAUCAGUGAGGCCUUCCCACACAAGUCCCCAUGUAAAAGGGCAGCUCACCUUCCCACGUCCUGCCCCCUUACCCAGUAUUUAGUUCUUCACAGCACUGACCCCCACCUAACAUGUUAUAUAGUCAUUUGUUCUUUGUCUUCCUUGGUCAAAUGGUAGCCCCUCAACAGCAGGGGCUCUGGCCACCUCAUUCACUGUUGUAUCUUCGCAACCUAGGUAGAGCGGUGCCUGGUACCCAGUAAUUGUUCUGUAAAUAUGUGUUAAACGAGCGAAUUAAACUUCACAGAACCUGUUCACGAUAAUAUCUAUUGAAAGAAUGUAUAGAGGGACGCCUGGGUGGCUCAGUUGGUUAAGUGUCCAACUUCAGCUCAGGUCAUGAUCUCGCAGCUUGUGAGUUUAAGCCCCGAAUCAGGCUCUGUGCUGAGAGCUCAGAGCCUGGAGCCUGCUUCAGAAUCUGUGCCUCCCUAUCGCUCUGCCCCUCUCCCACUCACAUUUUGUCUCUCUCUCCUUCAAAAAUAAAUGAAUGUUAAAAAAAAAAAAUGUAUAGAGCUCCAUUUUCACAGAAUGCCUACCCUAUGAGACAUUUAUUUUAAGAAAACAAGUUAAGGAGAAAAACUUUGUGUUUGAAGAAGAAAAUGUCCAAAGCAGCAUAAACCAAUCUGAUAUACCUGCCCUGAUCAAUCCUGCCUCCUCUUUAUCCCUGGAACAGAUUUUCCUGGAGGUGGUGAUGCUUGUGUUAUAACCACUGGUACUGGGGCAGGAAAUGGGAGACCCCCAUGCCUAUGCUACCUUUGUGUUUGUUUCAUUUUGUUUCCUUUUCUAAAAACAACGAUCGCCAUCUCCCACGAUGAACUACACUAAGACUGAAACACAACCAAACUCAGACUUGUAAACCAUCUCUAAGUUGCUGAGCUAUUAGAGAAGGGAUCUCCCCACAGAAUGGUGUGGACAGCCUUCCACCUUGAUCUCGUAAAAUCACCAUCCAAUUUAUAAUAAAUGGAGCCUGAGGAGGACUCGACCUCACUCUUCUAAAACCAUGAAGUGUACCAGAAAGGAGGGACGAGAUGGUAGUUUUACCUGUG